AAAAUAAUCCUACCCUUUGUGAAUUUUGUUUGUUUGAAUAAUUUUUUUUUUUAAAAAAUUAUUGGAGUCUUUCCUUUAGAGUUUGCUUUUGAGUUUGUAAAAGAAUUCGAAAACAUCUAAAGGGGAUGGUCAAUAAUUUUUUUGAAAAAAGACAUUUUUUAAAAUUAAACUUUUUGUAUUCAUUUGUCUAAAAAUUAUUUUAUAAUAUAAAAACAACUUUUGACAAUGGAUCUCUUGGUUCUCGCAACGAUGAAGAACGCAGCAAAAUGCGAUAAGUAGUGUGAAUUGCAGAAUACGUGAAUCAUCGAAUCUUUGAACGCAUAUUGCACUUUUUUAGUUUACUAAAAAAGUAUGUCUGUUUGAGUAUCAGUAAAAUAUUCUCAUAAAAAUCAUUGUGUAUUUUUAUGGUUAUGAGUGUUUUACAACGAUACAAGUUGUUUCACUUUAAAUUUUUUUUUAAUAUUGAAAUUUUUCUAAUUUUAAUAAUUAAAAUUGGAUAAAAUUUUCCCGUCAAAAGGAAUAACCUAAACAAUUUUAAACGAUUAAUUUUAGCAAAAUUUUCGUAAAAAAGGAAGAUUUUUAUUAAAAUAACUUGAUCUCAAAUCAGAUAAGAGUACCCGCUGAACUUAAGCAUAUCAAUAAGCGGAGGAGAAGAAACUAACAAGGAUUCCCUUAGUAACGGCGAGUGAAGCGGGAAGAGCUCAAAUUUGAAAUCUUCAAGGUUUUACCUUGACGAAUUGUAGUUUACAGAAGUGUUUUCUGCUGAAGUUUUGGUAAAAGUUCUUUGGAAUAGGACAUCAUAGAGGGUGAGAAUCCCGUAUUUGACCAUUAUUUUCAGCUUUGUGAUACACUUUCAAAGAGUCGGAUUGUUUGGGAAUGCAGUCCAAAAUGGGUGGUAAAUUUCAUCUAAAGCUAAAUAUUGGCGAGAGACCGAUAGCGAACAAGUACCGUGAGGGAAAGAUGAAAAGAACUUUGAAAAGAGAGUUAAACAGUACGUGAAAUUGUCAAAAGGGAAGCGUUUGACACCAGUGUUGUUUUCUCGAAAAUCAAUUAAAAAUGGCUCGAUUUUGUAUUGCUGAGACCUUAAAAGCUCACUGUACAUUUUUCGUGUCUUUUUUAAUGCACUUUUCGUUUAACAAGUCGACAUCAGUUUCUUUUGUUGUAAAAGGGUCAUUGGAAGGUGGCUUUCUUUUCGGAGAAAGUGUUUAUAGCCUUUGGCCUCUGCAAUCGAAGAGACUGAGGUCUGCAGCGUAGACUCUUCGGGUUAGAUACAUUUGUGCUAAGUUAUAGCUUUUUAUAGACAACUUGUUGACUAUAAUUAGUCUUGUAGCUUACUCGCUUAUGCUAUUUUA
Molecule: unclassified non-coding RNA, 1352 nt
Filed under: uncultured Neocallimastigales
Lineage: Eukaryota; Fungi; Neocallimastigomycota; Neocallimastigomycetes; Neocallimastigales
Description: partial contains internal transcribed spacer 1, 5.8S ribosomal RNA, internal transcribed spacer 2, and large subunit ribosomal RNA
Rfam family: Eukaryotic large subunit ribosomal RNA (bases 594-1352)
Source: RNAcentral